Molecule: non-coding RNA, 41532 nt
Organism: Callithrix jacchus (white-tufted-ear marmoset)
Lineage: Eukaryota; Metazoa; Chordata; Mammalia; Primates; Cebidae
Source: RefSeq, a predicted model, not a curated record
ACAGGGGGUAGGGGGAGCAGGAAGAAGGAGCAUGGCGGGGCAGCUGAGGAGGUGCUGGCAGGUGGGCCACGGGGUCCCACCUUGCAGGGGGCUUCUCCUCACCAGGGUGUGGUCCUGUUUGUCUGUGUAUGCACAGGGAAGUUAGCAUAUGCUGUAAACAACAUCUCAGCUCACCUGUGACAACCCGAAUCACACUGCAAAUCACUCAAUUCUAACUACAACAGCCCCAUAAAUUACUGUUUAAGGUAGAAAGUGGUGUAAACCCAGGAGCAAUCUUCAGUAUCCAAGCCUGUUCCUGACCCAGGAGGUGGAGAAUGUACCCCUGGGGCCUCUCCCCUUGACUGGGAACUAGGUAGCUAGAGUUCCAGGUGGCUUGAGUUCUGUGGCCCGAGGUCAUCUUCCACUUACCUGCUCAUGACAGGUGACUUAUCUGCUCCAGAAGGUGAUGUGAAGAUUAGAGCAGACAGAUGAGAGUGUCCUGGGAGCACCCAGAGUACUGCUGUUUAAAUCUGAAGGAGAUUUGAAGGUCAGCUGCAGUUUGUUAGUGCUCUCCAAGUUACAUGAUCAAAAGUUUCUAGUUAGAUCACAGUGAGCGUUUCCAACUUAGUUACGAUCACCUCAUUGUGUCCAGCGAACAGAGGAACCAACCAACAAGCAGAGGUCAGAAUUCCUUUCACGGCGACUGGUUCUGCCCUCUGCAGGGGACGGAGCUUCUAGGAAAGGUCUUAACCCUCUGUUCGCUUGCAAGAGGAAAAACUUCCCAAGGCAACCUGGAAGAAUAGCAGUCCUUUUCUUUUUUUCUUUUGCCUUCUUUUUAUUUAUUUAUUUUUUAACUAAACCUUCCAUAUAAAGAUAGCGUUGGGAUGUUUCCUGAGUAUUCACACUGUCCGUACCGUUUCUGACAUCGCUGUAACAACUGCAGCUGAUCAUGUGAGCCCAAGGAGUGGGAACCACAGCCCAGAUCCCUCAAGUCUAAUGAGCAAAGAGACACAGAAUGCUCAUGUCUGCCUAAACUAUUAGGCUUUGCCAUUAAUGAAUCUUGCUGUGGACAAAUCCCUCAUGGUUAGAGGAAGUUUGGUGAGGAGUGUUCUGUGUGGCCAGAGGGAAUCAGACGUUGACAUCUCCAGAAUGGCUGGCAGCCAGGCCUCUUCCCACGAUGGGCCCAGCCCUCCUGCGGUGGGUGUCCAGGCUCCAGGAAGGGCCUCUGCUCCUCACGGACAUGGAAGGGCUGUGGCCCCAUGUCCUUUCACUCUUUCCAUUUCCCCACGGCCCUAAUCACAUGCUCAUAGGUAACUCCCCAUCCUGGGAUGUUUUCUGAGGACGAGCGAGCAUCAGGAUAUCAGGUUACUUCAGGAUCUUUCUUUCUUUGUUUUAUUUUUGCCUGGCGAGCCACCUGGUUUCUCAGGAACCUGCUCAUACAUGAAUGAUCUCACUCACGGUGCACUGAUUUGAUAAUUUUCCACCAAUUUCCCAGGUGCUUCACGAAGACAUGCAGCGAGUCUUCUGGGAGCUGGUCCAGCUGCUGGCUCACGCGUUCCUGUUGAGCACCUUCCCCACCACAGAGAAGUGGGUUAAAGGAUGUCAGGGUUAAACUCUUAACUCAGAGCUGGAUUGCACAGCUAACGGUAGUUGUAGAUGGAGCCAGACAAGGAGAAGACGCAAGUGCUCAGGCCUAGAAACGAAAGCGUGGCUGAGUUUAACUCCUAUGGCUGGAAAUAAGAAAAUGCGUGAACUCCUGGCUCAUUCUUCCUAAAGUGGGCAUCGGCUGAUUUAAGACAGAGGGUAUCUGCAGCUGCAGGUGCAUCUGCCCAGGCCCGUACCACCCUGUUCCUGAAGAUAGCAUGGUAGCAGCACAUGCCUAGUGACCCAGUCCACUCAGGACACAUGGCACCACCUCCUUUUCCCAGUUCACAGCACUCAUUGCCUCUUGGAGCUGAUUCAGGGAAUCUCCAGCAGUGAAAGGUACCAACAGACCUGUGGAAAUCCUAGGAUGAAGCCUGUGCAGUCUGCUUCGACGAGAAAAGCGUCUUCCCAAGAAAUCAUAUGAAGGAACCUCAGUGCUGUGGACAAAUAUGUACACGCACUUGCACAGGGGGUCCUGUGUUUCCCGCUCUGCAGGCCGCCCCGUGAGACCACAAUUCCUGCGAAACUCUGGCAUCCAGAAGCUACAACAAAUCCAGAUAAAACGAACCCCAUGGCACGCUGGGCACCGUCUGCCUUCAGUGGCUCGCAAUGCAGGAACUGUACUGUAUAUUCUGAUGCGGUUUCCACGUGCACAGAAGUCGUACUUUUGCAGGCUCUGUUUGUUUGAGGUGAUUGCUGUAACACUUCGUGACACGUGGUGGCUUAAAGCAGCAGAAGUCCGUUGUCUCAUAGCUCUGGAGGUCGAAGUCUGAGGGUGCAGGCAGGGCUGUGACCCCUCCAGAGGCUCCGGGGAGACCCUCCUCGCCUCUCCCAGCCUCUGGUAGCUCCCAUGCUCCCUGGCUUGUGGCCACUUUGCUCUAGUCUGUGGCUGCAUCUUCACUGGCUUCUCUGCACGUGCCAAAUCUCCCUACCUCCUCUUCCAAGGACGCAGUGGUUGUAGGCAGGACCACUGAGAUAAUUCAGAUCAACCUCCACCUCAUGACCCUCAAUUUGCUCACAUCUCCAAAGACCCCUCUUUGCAGAUAAGGUAAUUUACAGGGUCAGGGAUUAGGAUUUGGCAUCAUUGGAGGCUGUUAUCCAGCCCAUGAGGAGCGAUAAGUCCGAAUUUUGGGACUGGUCUAAGAAGGGAGUGAGAGCUCUUCCUGGAGGAGGGGCAGCCCUGCACACUGGGCCACCCACUCCACGGAACAGGGGAUUGCGGGUGACCACAGCUCAUGGGUUGCUUCUCGCUGCAUCUGUUUUUUUCCCUCUGCGUCUUCAGUGUGUGAUGAGGCCCGGCGGAGCUCAUGGUACAGGAGGGCAGGGGUCCUGGGGCUGCCGUGCCCCCCGGCUGGGUGUGCAGAGUGACUUUGGGAUGCAUGGAGUGCCCGGCACCUGCGCCGGCUGAGUGAGGGUCGCCUCAGGUAGGACCUUGGAUUUGAAAAUUUGGGUAGGAAGCCCAAGGAAGAGUGAGGAAAAAAGUGUUCCUGAAACAUGGUGUAGCCUGGCGGUGAGCAGGGUCUGGCCCCACAUUUUCUUUAGUAAUUGCUCCUGAGCGGCCUUGGCAAUAGUGGCCUCACUACCCAAGCAGCCUCUCCCUGAGCUGUCUCUAACAGAACCAUUCUCACAGGCGCUUGUUGAACCUGGCACGUAACUCAGGGAUGUGUUGGCAUUUAUUAAUUUGCGAACAUACCACGCAGCAUAUGGGCCAUUCAUCUUUGAUAAAGUGUUUAGGGAGCUGUCUUAUUUCAGAGCUUAUCUGUAUGGGAAGAAGCUGGUCUCCUGGACCCUUUGACACAAAUAUUCUGGCAGGUUGUCUAGUAUACAGAGAUCAGCUUGAUGAGACUGUGCGACUUUCGCCGAAAUGCAUACAAUCCUGUUAACGGUGGGCUCUGGCGGCAGAGCGAGGCUGGACUCACUUCUGUGAUGUACCAGCAGUGUGGCCUCUGACAAGCUAAUUAACCUACUACUGCCACCACAGCUACCACCUCCGGUUCAACUACCACCGUGAUCACCACGACCACCAUUGUGGGGUGACUCCACAAUUCCUCUAUGAAAAUGACUUUUACUGUGGCUCACAGAGCCGUGAAAAUAUGCCUGACUUGAAGAAAAUCCUUAUUUAUCUUUUUAAAAAGGCAUUCUGUGAGACAUUACAGCAUUUCUUUACAUAGUGAGCCUACUACAUUUACAAUGUAGCUCACUUUCCCAAAAUUAAAUAUACACAAAACAUUUGAGGAAUAUAAUUUUUACAAGAAGUGAGGCAAGUCUGUGUCGUAGGGUAGCCCUGCAUUUAAUUUUGCAGAGUGAAUGGAAUAGCACACAUCUGGCCAUGCACAGAUCAUAAGGCUGAGAGAGUCAAAGUGACCUCCUGAAUUUUCUAUGUGGCCAGACACACUGUGGAGUCUCUCUCUCACACACCCACACACCUUUAAUGGAAGUAGAGCUGGUAAAUUUAAUGUGGACUUAUGGAUUUGGGGUAACUAACUUCUCAGGCUGUAUUAAUGCUAUUUUAUUCAUCAUCAUUAAUAUUAAUGAACAUCUUUAUAAUUGCUGAUAAGUUUAUAGCUGCUGUCUUGCUUUGAUACAGCACAUUCCAUAAGAAACGUAAAAUGUCCUAUGGAGCCUGGAGAUGGUGUGUUAACUGAGGGUGGACAGCUGGUUCUUUCUGCUGUAAGAGGGUCCUAAAAACUGUGGGUUCCUGCAAGCCAAGGGAAUACGAAUAUUGAAAACACAGAGGCCAUGGUGGCUUUGCCCUUGCCUUCCCUAGCUCCUGUGACUGGUUUGAGGCAGAGGUGCUGAGGUGGGGAAGGCAGGCGUCUGCAGGGCGUGGGGCGCGCCACACUGGCUGCACUGUCUGUGAAUGUCCCGGGUGUGAAUUCUGUGGGGCGGCACUGACGUCCGGGGUGCCAAGGCCUGGGUGCCGUCCUCUCAGGAGCCUUUGUGCCUCCACUCAUCUCCAGGGACUUCGUUCCUAGAGGCAGCCAAGGAGUCAUGAGGAUGAACCACCACUCGGGUCCCCCGAGUUUAAAGCACAGAGGCUUGCAGGAUGCUUCAGAAGACGUGACAUUUCCAUGGCAGAGGAAAGAAUCUGCGGUUUUCAUUUUUUUAGCUGGAUGAUGACACGAUUUUUGGCUUCUGUAAGGAUUGCCAUUAUUUCAAAAGAUAUGGAACAAAGGGACUUUGGGGGAAUAUGGCCUUUUGUUCUUCCAAAUUAUGUUAUUUUUCUGCCUUAGUAUUCAAAAUGUAGUAACAUGCCAGGUUUCAAACUGGAUAAGAAUGUGGCUGGUUUUAUUGCUCUUCAGUCCACAUGACCCAUUUGAGAUCGUUUUUCUUAAGCCCAAAUAACACGGGAGUGUGGAGUGAGUCCAUCGGACUUAGAUUAUCUCUGUGUUUGUCUGCAAAUGCUAUCUCGCCUUUGUUUUUGAAGGAUACUUUUUCUUGAUAUCAGAUUGUAAGUUGAGAUUGUUUUUCUAUUGGCAUUUUAAAGAUGUCAUUUCAUUGUUUUUUUUGUCUUCUGAGAAUCAAUGAUCAGUCCGAUUUAGCUCUUUUGAAGUGAAUUUGUCUUUCAUUUCCUGACCGCUCUUAAGACUUUUUUUUUUGGUCUGUUUUUCAGCAAUUUAAUCACUGAGAUGAAAAAUUUAAAAAAAAAAAUCUUGGCGUAUGAUGUGCUUUUCAAAUCUGCAUUUGGAUGCUUUUUGUUUGUCUUGAUCUUAAUGAUCAUUAAUUUCAGAAAUUUCUCCUGAAUUAAAGAAGUCUGAUGCUCCAUAGAAGUUUCUUCAACUUAGUGUGACAAUAUUUUGAAAAUCUGGACACAUAAAAAAUAUGGACAUAAAUGGCCACAGAUACUUUGAAAGCCAAAAAUAGGGAGCAUUGGGCAAAAUGUAUAAGCUAGUCUUGGUACACAUUUCAGUAAGUAUCAAACUUCUUUCUGACAAAUGGGGUUGCUGUGAAACCCAGGCACCUGAAGGGCUUCUGACGCAGAAGCUGCCCAUUUUCACCACCGAAGUGUGUGCUUCGGGAGGCCAGCCUAUGCUCGCCCCUAUUUCAUCACCAGCACCACAGUGCUACUUCAUCACAUGAACAUAACUAUGAGUCUUAAACAACUCAUGGUUGCAACAAUCAGUUCUCUGGGUUCAUCUCUCAGAUUUCAUGUUCAUUGCCAAGACCUUGAGGUGGGUUGUAAAAAUAUCAGUUUUAUCCUCAGUGUGGACUAAGAAAUUCAUCAUUGACAAGCCUAUCUGUUAAAUAUGCUGUUAACGCAAACAAUGAAUUUAUCCCACCCAGAUUUUUUCCCCUUUGUUGUUUUUUUCUUGAUGAAGAGAAAUAAAAAUUUAGCCUUGAUGUUGAAAGCUCGAAGAAGCAUAUAUCCUCAGCUUAGUAGAACAAGGGUGUCAAAAUGGCUAUUUCAUCUCACUUUUUUCUAAAAGGAUGAUUAUUCAGGACAUAGAUUUUUAUUAAUUACUAUGCCCAUCAUUUUUUUCAUCUUACUGAAUUCACUGAGAAAGACCAAGGGCAAACUCCUUUAGGUUAUCUGUGGUCAGGAAAUAACACAACUUUUGCUGAAGGAUUCAGAGUUCAAGACAGCCUCGAAAUGAGCUUCUGGUCCUGAAGUUUUGCCAUAGGUUCAGACUGGCCAGUGCAGAAUUUUUCAAGUAUAUCCUUCAAGAAGGAUACAUUACUAUGCCUCUGAUGACUGUGUGAGCUAGGGUAUCUUUUUCAGCUUGGCUGCUUCUUUUUAACUCAGAACUGAUUUGGCCGUAUCUAAAUUGCAAGGCUUCAUUCUGCUAAUACAUAAGCUUCAUCUUCUAAGAAAAUACUGCAAGCUGACCUUGAGGGAAGCUUCAAGCAAACUUCAUUUACUUAUUUGAGGCACUUUUUAUUAUUAUCCCUAUGCAAGAUCUUGCUCUGUCUUUUGGGGCAAGACAUUCUGAUGAUUUCUUUUCAAAAUUUGCAUGAUUGGUUUUUAAAUGUCCAUCAAGAACAAUGUGGGGGCUGCUUAGGGGUUGCAUGCCGGCAAGAUACCAAGACUUAGGCUGAUUUGCAUCUCAAAAAUAAUAAAAACCGGGUUCCCAAUAAGCAUGUAAAUGGAGGCUGAAAUAUUUAGUCAGUCUGCGCUGGCUGUGGUGUGGCAGGUGCUGUCUGGGCUGCGGAGUGGACAGGUGCCACCCAGGAUGGGAAGCAGACAGGUGUCUCGCAGGCUUGGCCAUUAUUCGUGCUGCGAAACGAUGUCAGGGGGAUUUGAAUUCUCUAAUUGUGUUUUCUAAAAUUCACUGUGUUCACACUUAUGAUUGGAAAUUCCUGUUUUUAUUUAUGUUGACAUGUUCCCAGAUGGACACGUGGUUGAAAAUCUGCACUGGGAGACUGGCUGCCGAGGCAGUGACACGCCAGUGCCCAAAGAGGGCAAAACCCGCUCCGUGGACAGUGGCUCGGGAGGACGUGGUCACAGUGUUUAGCAAGCUUGAAUAUGCCCUUCAGUAGGUGCUGGACACGGGACGAGGAUGCCCUAAGGAAAACGCACAGAGAAAGGGCGAGCACACGGGCCACUCGCCGGACAGGUGAUGUGGUUUAAGCCCUGACCCUGCCAAGUCCGUGGCGUUACUCUCCUUCCUGGGGCAGGGGUCUUCUCUGUUCCCCGACAUCUCUGCCUGAUUCUGCACAGAAAGGCCCUCCCGAGGGUGCUCCCACUCAGCAGGGGCUGACUCCAAGGCCGGUGUUCUGCAUGUCCCAGCACCAGGCUGCCAGCGAAGAGGAAACCCUACCCCUUCUAAUUGUUCCUGGGAACCUGCCAAGGUGCCUCGCCGUGAAAGGCUGGGAGUCGCCACAGGUCAGUGUAUCCCUCACAAAACCCUCCCGAGACCACUCGCUGCUCUUUCUAGGGCACCUAACAGCUGCCAAGGGACUCUUCCUCCUUGUACUUGGCUGCAUGCCAGGCAGCCCGGGCAGGCCCCUGGUGACAUGGGGAGUAGAGGCUCAGGCAGGCUUGGGUCUCUGAGGACAUCUGGGCUGUGGGGAGCCUUGGUGCCGAGCUGGCCCAGCACUCGCGGAGUCACCUUGCAGCCUCUGGAGGGUGCGGAGGGCCCUGGGUCCCAAAGAUACACUCCAGCCACGUGGCCCUGGGGUCCCCCUCUCCCUGCCCCUCCUCGCCCACCUGGCUCUUCCUCAGCAUUGCCUCCGGUGGGUGGCCAGGAGGGCAGGUGGGGCCUCUCGGAUGAACCUAGCACUAGCAAUUCUGUUUUGGGGGCUACUUCAGACACUGCUGUGAAAACAGCAUCACAACACAACUGUGAAUUCAUUCCAAGACCUGGGCUAUUCUUAUAUUCAGAGACGCGCUGAAACCUUAUGUCAUUUUUUCUUUGUAAAAUUGUUGGAAUUUGCCCAUUAAAUCUUAAAUUGCCACUAGCCAACAUGGAUGCAAUCUCCUGGGGAUGGCACCGCUGGGCACACCUGCGUCUGGCCUCGUGGUGGGAAGGGGCUUGAGGGCCCCCAGGACGGGGGUUCUUACCACUGAGGAGAGGCCGGUUGUGCCGGUAGGAGGUGGGCAGCUGGCCAACGUCCUCCAUGCGGUGGCUCAUGACGCGUGCCAGGUGGCCCGUGUGGUGCAGGCUGCCCACCACGAUGCUCUGCAGGUACACAGGCUCCACGAAGUGGGACAGGAGUGCACCCUGCAGUCCCAGGACGUUCCACCUGUGGGGAGAGCCAGUGGUUAGUGGGGCCCACCCUGGAGCCCAGGACAUUCCAGCUGUUGGGAGAGCCAGAGGUCAGCAGGGCCUACCCCGGAGCCCAGUGAGCUGGGUCCUUUCUGCCCCUCUGCAGCUUGGUCUUGAGAACCUGUCACACUUCCAUUGUGCGGACCUGCGGGGGGCUCGCCGGGGGUGCCCAGACUCAACCCACUGUCGCCUGGGAUGGGGAUCCAAGGGCCCCUGUGUGCUAACACACACUACUCCCUUUUCUGAAAAUGAGUUGUUAGGCAGAGUGGAAGCUGUUAUGUUCUCUCUGGGAUGUAGAAUUAGAUGUUUUAAGAAAGAUGCUCUGUCCCGAAAGUGAAUCUGAAGUUUUCUUUAUAUUAGCUGGGAAAUAUUAGAAACUGAAUUUAUUUUAGUUUAGGGAAAAAUACUUUCUACUCCCUUUGUCCUUAGCAGUCAAAAUGACCUAUUGUGUUGAAAUGAAAUGACAUGAAUAAAUGACCUUGGUUUGGUCUGGGGAUGAUUUGGUUUUAGAAGCCCGGAUUGGAGAUGAACGAGGAGUCCAUUUUGUUUGAAAUAAAUAUAGCUCUGGGUGAAUGUUUUUGCUUCUUCAAGCAAAAAUACCAAGAGCACUGGGAUUUUUCCCCAUUAAAGUUGGGUGGCAAGAGGUUCCAUGUGUGUGUUAUUCAAGGCAACAUUUUGUGGUUUCCACUCUAAUGUACUUAAAAUCCCAUCUCCACCAGUAGCAAGCAUUCUGCAGCUAAUUUCUUACAUCAUUGUUCUUUUCAUUAAUUAACAUUUCUCCACUGUUAGAGCAAUUACUGCAGUCCCCGCAUGCAGUGCCUUUUUUCAUGAUUAAUAAGCAGUCAUUAUAUUUCCCUUCCUGAAGCAGUCAAUUAACACAGAAUUCUUUCCAUUAAUUACCGAAUCUACCUGGAGAGUAAUCUUCUCGGAGAACCUGUGACACCAAUUGCUUUCAAAAGUUCUCUUCAAAUUUUAUUCCAAAAACAUAGGCAAUUUAGCCAGCGAUAUUAAUUUGCCUCAGAAUCAUCUCUGUGAACGAGAAACAUCUUUUAAUCUCAUGCAAGAAAAGGCAGCCAUCUGGCUGGUGGGGAUUUCGGGGAGCAGCUCUCCCUCCGCAAAUGCAGGUCAUUAAAGUAAUGUGCUCAUCUACAUAAAACUCAAAUGGAAUAUAAAAGGUAAUAUUUAUAUACAAACAAUUUAGUCCUACAAUUUAAACAGUCAUUGGUUUUAUGAAACGUUUACUUCAGUCUAUCAGAUUUGCAUAACUUCAUUUAAAAAAAUAUUGUGGUCAUUUCUACAAGUCACGGCGUUUCUCCCAGAAAGCAAGGGAGGGGCCGGCUCCUGGAUACGUGAGGUUCUCCCUGAGGGAGGAGCUCAGGAGUUCUGAAGGGUAGGAUGAGACGAAGGCCACAGACCACCUGCCACUGAGAAGCCUGCAUUCCACAGCGUGUCUGCCUGGAUCUCCAACAGUGGCUCUUCAGAGUCAAUUUUUUCUUUGAUGUUCACUGAUAAGUCAGAGCAUGUCAGCAAAACGUGGGAAAGGAGACUUUUUGUAACAGAUUUUCCUUUGGUGUUUUAUGUUUUUUUUUUUUUUUUUUUAAAUAGAGACAUGGUUUUGCUGUAUUGCCCAGGUUGGUCUUGAACUCCUGGAUUCAAGUGAUCCUCCUGCCUCAGCCUCCUUAAGUGCUGGGAUUACAAGAGUGAGCCACUGCGCCCAGUCUUUUUUGGUUUGUUUUUUAGACAGGGUCUCAUGCUGUCAUCCGGGCUGGAGUACGCUGGUACAAGUGGUGCAGUCACAGCUCACUGCAGCCUAAUUAUUUUGUCUUUUUCAUAGAGGCAGAGUCUUGCUAUGUUGCCCAGGCUGGUCUCAAACUCCUGGGCUCAAUCAAUCCACUCACCUUGGCCUCCCACAGUGCUGGGAUCAUAGGCAUGAGUCACCGUGCCCAGCCAAUGCCAAUGUUUUUGAGGAGUGGUUGAGGGAUUUGGCUUGUUCCCUUGAAUCUGAGACCAGAGGACAGACCAAAAGCUGGGGGGAAAUUCAGCAGCAUGGCCCUCCUUAGGGUGUGAGAUGCCGGAAAACAAGGCCCCGGAAAGGACCCCGUGUGGGGCCCAGGGCUCUGGUUACAUGGUCCUAGUGGGCCUGUUACUUCUCAGACUGUUAGUGCAGUCUUAAAAUGUUUUACAAAUUAAAGUAGGGAAAGGUAUGUUUCCACCAUCAGUAACAAAGCACCUUCUUGAAAUAAGCCGUGAGUUAAAAAGUAAAAUCAGGGUUCCUGGAAGAGGCGCUGUGGUGUUAGAGGUCAUUGGAGCACUGACCUCUAGUCAUUUGAACAAGACUUCUGGAACGUACAUGAGUGUCUGUGAUGCCACAGGACUCUGGGAAGACAGAGAACUUCAGUGUCGGGUUCCCACCUGGUAACCUUGACAAUAAAGAGGAAAUCAGCCUUCUCCUUGCCUGGCUAUCAAGAGUUUAAACUUAUUCAGCUAACACAAUCAAUAAAACCAAAUGUCUUUCUGAAUAUGAGCUGGAGAAUUUUCAGCAUUCAGGAUUGAAUGGAAAAAUACCUCUACUUUUGUUCAAACAGCUGAUAUUACCCCACUCUUGACAGAGAAAAAAAACCCCGUGUCUAGUUUUCAAUACAGAUAAUCCCUAAAUAAAUGUAUUUUUAUCUGUGUGUCAAUCACUGAAAUACCACAGAUAAGUGGGGGGAGAUCUUGGAAAAAGGCUGCCAUUCUUGAGUCAGGAGUGGCAACCUGCUCACUCAGCCCAGGCUGUGGUCUCCUGGUCACAGUGGAAGGAAAGACGGGUCUGCGGUGGGUUGACGAUGCCUCAGGUUGUCCCUGCAGGUGUGCCGGCGUCAGGCAGGGACAGCAUCAGGUAGGGAACAGGGACCACCCUUGCCUGUUUGGAUGCUUUGGUUUUCCGCUGUGACGUGGCCCUCUGAGGAGAUGUAACUCUAAAGGUGUAGAUGUAACUUUAGAGUUACAUGAAGCCUGCAGCAAAGUCCUCAGCCACCACCUGGCGUGGCUCUUAGGCCUGCUGCUGGAUCGUCUGGGAGCUAUGAGGACCUCCUGAAGCCUGGCUCCCUCAAGGGUUCUGGUGUGAUUGGAGGGUCAGUGCGGCCAUCAGCUUUCUCGGUGCCACCCAUGUGAGUCUCGUGUGAGCCAGGGUUGAGGACUUCCGCAGCAAAGUGGCAAAUUCUGGAGCCAACAGUCAGGUACCAUUUAGGUCAUGAUGCUGGUCAGAGGGGCCUCUCUUGCUGCUCUUAUCAACUCUCUUCUCAGUGGUCCUCAAAGUGGGGUGCCUGGGCUAGCCACCCAGCAUUACCUGAGAACUUGAUAGAAAUGUAAAUUCCCGGGCUGCACCCCGGAAAUGCUGGCUCAUGAACUCUGGGGUGGUGCCCGGUGGCGCAAAUUCUAAGCAGCAGCUUCCAGGUGGCUCUGAGGCUGCUCAGUUCAAGAACCACCAUCUCUGUGUUGGUUCUGUGGUCACAAUAGCAAUACCUACCUCUAAUGGCAUUGCAAGAGCACAGGAAAUGAUUUAAUCUCUGGCUGGUUGGGGGGUGACAUUUCCCUUCUGUCACACCUCACCCCCAAACCCUACCUCACACCUUCAUUCCACAUUUUGGCAACACAGGUAAUAAGUCCAAGACGUCUCUGCAUGAAUGCCUCAUCCCAUUUCCAGGCAACUCAGAUCUAUUCUGGGGCCUAAGUAAAAGAGAAGCCAGCAGCCUUUUGACUCAGUAACAUUACUGCUAGGAAUUCACCCAGCAUCUGCAUUCUCAAUGGAACCCCUAAUGUACGGAUGGGGCCAGUCCUGAAGGGGCUGUUUCUAAUUGCAAAGCAGACAAAGCACAGCAAAGCAGAAACUGGAAAUCACCUAUGUGCGUCUUAGCAGGGAACUGGUUAAAUAAAGGAUGGUGUGUUCAUGAUGCCCUGGCCUGCCUGACCACGUAUCCCACACCUGUGCCUCUGAGGCAAGCCUUUCUUGCUGGGACGCCCUUGGGGUCAGGAGGCCAUAGCUUCCCGACCCGCGCCUUCUGCUGUGUGGAGACUCUGCCCCUCAUGGUUCCUGCCAGCCUUGCCCAUCACAUCAUGUGGGAUACUUGUGAUUGCUCUAAAAACAUGAGGCUCUCAUGCUGUCCCCUCUUGAGGUCCCUGCCUUGUGUCCAGUGGCAUCGUGGCUGCCUCCUGCUGGGCUGCCCCUGCCCCAGACCUUGGGUACCUGUGGUUUAAAUCUCCUAGCAUUGCUGAGCACGAGUCUGGUGUGCAGAGGGAGGUGCCUGAUGUGUAGGAGGAAGCUGAUGGAUGGGGUGUCCCUUCAGCAGCUGUGUUGUGUUCAGAGGUGGAAACGACGCUAGGCGACAACCCAGCAAGGCUCUCAGUGAUCCCACCCCACAGGCUCUUCCUCCAUGUGACUGUGACACCCCCAGUGGGGCCUCCACCUGCCUUGAGCUUCUGUGGCUUGGGACAUCUCAGCCCAAGGGUUGGGGUGAUGCCACGUAGAAUGGGUCCCCUGACCUCCCGGGUGCUCCCUCAGGCCUCAGCUGCCUGCCAUUCUGCAGACUCCUGAAUCCGUGAAGCAGCGCCAGGGCCUUCACCCACCGCAGCUGACCUGCCAGUAAACCUGAUCUGCGGCCCGGGGGCUGCCUUGCCGGCACCACGUGGGGAGGAAGUGAGCAACCUCCGAGCUCGCAGGGAGGGCCUGGGAGUACACGAGGCGCUUGCUGUUUCAGGGCCACGUGGUUUUGGGGUGGUUCGCUUCACAGUAGGAGACAACUGAACAGAGCCUGUGGCUCAGCCGGAGUCAUCUCUGGGCUGUCUGCAGCUGCCCCGGGAGCUCACACAGGUCAGGCCAAAGGGAAAGGAGUGCAGUGUGCACCCUAGGCUCUGCCGUCCGAAUGCUCUUUACUCUGGUUGGCCUCUUGAUUCUGGGGACAAAGGACAGGCUUCACUCAGCCCAAGGACCUUUGGUUCCUUCUAUGAGGACAGCAGCUGUGAGAUGACGCCUGGCGACUCAGGGGCCUCAGCCCUGCGCCUCCGUCUCUGCAUCUCUGUGUUGGCUUUGCGGCGUUCAUGCUGUCUGGGUCAUUGCUGAGCAUCCCACGUCCCCACUCAGCUGGUCUCAUGCUUUCUCUUGUCCCCCUGAUUGGAGUCCCAGUUCUUACGUUGUUGCCAGCUUGUCACCCUUGGCUGUCUCCACAGCAUCUGGGCGGCUGCCCCCAGGAACUAGGCUCUGGUCUUGGGAGCCUCGGCCAAGGUCAGUGGUGCUGGUGCAGGAGGGAAGAGCCUCGGAGGCAGAGGGGCUGCUGCUGAUUUCAUUAUUACUUUUUAUAUUUGAUAAGUGUCCGUGAAUUGAUCACUGCUUUCCUCACUAGAGAGGUUAUAAAAUGUCACUUAAGGCCGAGUAUGGUGGCUCACACCUGUAAUCCCAGCACUUUGGGAGGCUGAGGUGGGCAGAUCCCUUGAGGUCAGGGGUUUGAGACCAGCCUGGCCAACAUGGUGAAACCUGUCUCUGCUAAAAAUACAAAAAUUAGCCUGGUGUGGUGGCUCAUGCCUGUAAUCCCAGCUACUCGGGAGGCUAAGGCAGAGAAUUGCUUGAACCUGGGAGGCAGAGGCUACAGUGAGCUGAGAUUGCACCACUGCACUCCAUCCUGGACGACAAGAGCGAGACUUCAUCUUGGAAAAAAAAAAAAAAAAGGUCACUUAAAACCUAUAAUGAAAUCACCACACAGUCUAUAUUAUUUAAAAAUCAGUAAAAACAUUUUUAAACUAGAUGGGAAGUAAGAAGUUAUGUUACGAAGGAUCUACACUUUGAAGUUAGAACCAUGAGCAACACUCAUUUGACCUCAGUGGUGUUGACAAAAAUUUAAAAACGAAGUCCAGCUGGGUGCGGUGGCUCACACCUGUAAUCCCAGGACUUUGGGAGGCCGAGGCGGGUGGAUCACGAGGUCAAGAGAUCGAGACCAUGCUGGUCAACAUGGUGAAACCCCGUCUCUACUAAAAAUCCAAAAAAUUAGCUAGGCAUGGUGGCGCGUGCCUGUAAUCCCAGCUACUCAGGAGGCUGAGGCAGGAGAAUUGCCCGAACCCAGGAGGCGGAGGUUGCGGUGAGCCGAGAUCGCGCCAUUGCACUCCAGCCUGGGUAACAAGAGUGAAGCCAAAAAAAAAACGAAGUCCAGCAGCAUAGCAUGGAGGAAGGCAUCAGGAUUGCUCCGUGGCCGCCGGUGGCCAGGAGGAGGUUCAAGAGGCUCUUGUGGGAGAAUGCUGAGCAGCCCCUGUCUAGGCAGAGGGAGACAGAGCUCUGCACAGUCUGAAACUUAAGUUCAGAAAUCAGCCAGUGCCGUACUCCCCAGAGAGCAGCUGUAAUUUCUUACAGUUCAUUUUCAUGGAGAAAGUUUUAAUCUGUUUAUCUAAUGACACAUUGUGAUCAAUAAUCACGCUCAGGUACUUAAAAUUAGAAACCAUAUCUGAGGGAACAUUAGUUCCAGAAGAUUUAGAUGUUUUAUAUGCCACUCAGCAUUUGAUUCUUUGAGACAAAAGCUAAAGGCACCUCUGCGGUUUUCCCCAUUCUUCCAGGAGCCUGGGGUUUGGCUGUUAGUGAGAGUGGAGACUGACUCCAUGGAGCUGGAGGAACAGGCUAUGUCUGUGGGCCCUCAGCAUGGGACUGUCAUGUCUGCCGUGUCCGACCUUCGUCCCACGCAGGGGCAGGGUUUGGUUGCCAGGACGCUCCUCAACCUUAAUUUGUGGCUUUGCAGGCCAAUCCUCAUGGACCCAUGAAACAACCCAUUUUCUGCAGUUCAUUCCGUCUUCCCAGGGCUGUGGUGGUGGUAGGAUUCUAGGAAUAGAGUUUGCUGUGACUUUAUGUGUCCUCUGAUUUCCCGAAAACUGACUGGGUGAUUUCUCUUGCCCUCCAGUGCCAGCCUCCUAGGGCCGCUGUGGUGACAACCACAGUGGGGUGGCUUCAAACAGUGAUGUUCUCCCAGUUCUGGGGGCCAGAGCUCUGAAAGGGCAUCCACAGGGUUGUGUUUCCCCUGGGGGCAUGUGGCUGCUGCCACCUCCAUAGUCCCUGUGUUCUGAGCACCUGCUGUCUCUGAGGUCACAGAAGAGGCCGAGGACACCUGGGCGCAUCAGUCCCUGGCCCCAGGACUCAUGUGCAGGCAGCGGCCCUGUGCUGCUCAGUAAACUGAGGAGCCCCAGGGACCUGGGACUGUAGAGUGUCCUCUCACGGCCUCCAGUGGACUGCAGAGCCUCAGGGACCUGGGACUCUAGAGUGUCCUCUCACGGCCUCCAGUGGACUGAGGAGCCUUGGGGACCUGGGACUCUAGAGUGUCCUCUCACGGCCUUCAGUGGACUGAAGAGCCUCAGGGACCUGGGACUCUAGAGUGUCCUCUCACGGCCUUCAGUGGACUGAGGAGCCUCGGGGACCUGGGACUCUAGAGUGACCUCUCACAGCCUCCAGUGGACUGAGGAGCCUCGGGGACCUGGGACUCUAGAGUGUCCUCUCACGGCCUGCAGUGGACUGAGGAGCCUCGGGGACCUAAGACUGUAGAGUGUCCUCUCACGGCCUCCAGUGGACUGAGGAGCCUCAGGGACCUGGGACUAUAGAGUGUCCUCUCACGGCCUCCAGUGGACUGAGGAGCCUCAGGGACCUGGGACUAUAGAGUGUCCUCUCACGGCCUACAGUGGACUGAGGAGCCUCAGGGACCUGGGACUAUAGAGUGUCCUCUCACAGCCUAGACCCCUGUGGGGCCGGCUGCAUAUCAGGCCAUUUCCUUGGGGCUGGUUUUGGGGACGAGGCAGCACUCACGGGCUCUGAAAGGGCAUCCACAGGGUUGUGCUUCCCCUGGGGGCAUGUGGCUGGUGCCACCUCCAGAGUCCCUGUCCUCUGAGCACUUGCUGCCUCUGAGGUCACAGAAGAGGCCAAGGACACCCUGGCCCCAGCACUCAUGUGCAGGCUCUAAGUGGUCACAUAUCAUAUCAGUGGUGUCUGCUGAGGCCCUGAGAUGCAAGGACAUAGUUCUGGGCAUCACAGGGAGGGCCUGAUCUGUUGGGGGAGACAAGACGGCCACAAUCCCUUGGCCCAGUAAGAGCAGCUUCUGAGCAGGAGCCUGGCCCUCAGCUUUCUCUGCGGGGCCAUCCGGAGCCUGAUGAGCUGUCGGUGCGUUGGGCACACACGUAGGCAGGGUAGGUGUCCUGCCCAGCGAACGGGCUCAAGGUAUACUCCUGUGGCUCAGUCAUGGGUCCCCAGAGACCACAGCGUAUUUCAGAUGCAGUGAGGGGCAUGUGACCUGGCAAUAGCCCCAGAUCUGUCUGAAUGGUGGAGAAUAUUAGGUGUGGGUCUCAGGAGGCAUGAGGCUCUAAAGCCCCACGGGGCACUGACUCCUAGGCAGGACAGAGACAAGCGACUCAUUCAGUGACCCCAGAGCAACGCCGAGGCUGUAUGAAAAAGAACUGCAACCCCAUCAGCAUGGGGUGGUCUACCUCCCAGGGAGGCCCUCGGCCCUUAGGAGUGGGGAUAGCCGCACCGUCACCCACAGCAACACCCAUGCCCACAGAUACCCACAACCACAUUUGUGCUGUCACCGUGUCACACCCAUACCCACACCCAUACUGCAACCCAUGAUCACGCUCACCCCACCCCACACACACCCACACUGUCACCUACACUCACCCACACGCACAGCCUUGCCAACACCCACACCCAAACCCACAGCUCGCCCACACGCCCACAGUCACCCACAUUCCCUCAGUUACCCACACUCACACCCACACGCCCACAUCCACUUGAGUGCUCUCGAAGGCCCCGGUGCCCUGAACAACUGUGGCCACAGAAUGACAGAAGCCCACACUCCGAGGAUGGAGGAGACUCAGGUAAUGUGUCAGGAAAUGUGAAAAGAGUUUUCUCCACAAUGUUUUAUGACUCAUUUUAAACCACUGUAAAAACUUCAAGGAUUCUAUAACACACUUUCAUAUUUUGCUGUAAAAUGAUCUUACCACUGACAUUGUGAAAUGAAAUCUAUUGUUAUUCAUGGAGUUCUGUACCCAGAAGAAUGCCUGCUGUUACCUAAGGAUAUUAUUAUGCAUUAUUAUUGAUCUGAAAGGUGAUACCUAUGCAUUACUUUUGAUCUGUAAGUGGGAAGUAAUGUCACUGCAUUGUUUGUUUAGAUCUUUUGAUACGAAAGAUCAUUUUUCAUUGAUAUCAAAGGGAAAGUGCAAAAAGAAUUACCAGUUUGUCUAACGGAUGCACUUUCUAUGCCUUAAUUAUAUAUACCAUUCUAUCCAUUUAGUCUCAUUACAUGAAAGCCACACAAAGUCAGGAAUCAAAAGCCAGCCAAAAGUUUCUCUCAUGGCUGCCCAAACAGAACUGCGCCUCUUCCUAGAGAAAUUUCGAAACGAGGAAGCCGACAUGACCGCAGGUUCCCGGCCAUGUGUGGGAUGACACUCAUGCUCUCUAGGAGAGAAAAUCCGCAGGUUUCACUGGUUUUAGCACAUCCCUAAAAUUUAUGAGCAGCAUGGAUACCUUUGCAGCCCUGGCUGAAGUUAGUGGGAGGGCAGAAGGCUCGUGCUUCAGCUCCAUGAAGUCGUCGUGUGGCACAUCAGAAGGCAGCAGUCUUUUCACAUUCCCGUUCUCACGGUGUCAUCAAUCACGCUGCAAUGAUUCCUUGUUCACAUCGUGGCCAUUCUGACAACAGAGUAGGUUUCCUUCAUUCACAAGUGCAGUGAGCAGCUCCUGGAAGCUGACCAUGUACAGCACUUUGUACCUUGUUGGGGUGUAAAGACGCCUGGUGUGUGGGCCUUGGGUGGAUGGAAAGGCGGGGACAGUAGGAGGCAGCCCCUUCCUGCGCUGGGGCUCCCAUGGUGUAGAUGUCUCCUCAGGAUGGGUCUCAGUGGAGCCGUCACAGCCAAGUGAGCCAGCAUCAGGGAAACUCAGAGGCAGCACUUGCCAGCCUGGGCCAAUGAGGCUCCAUCACACUCCCUGCCAGCCCACCUAGGUGUUGCCAAUGUGCAAUGUUCAAAGCCCUUGUCCCCUCCCGCUGUGGCUUAGUCUCCAAUCGCUCCUUUCUACCUCCCUAUCUCUUGAUAUGAAUCAUUUAAUCUAUCUAUAAUCUAUCAUCUACCAAUCAUAUGAUCUAUCCAAAAUCUAUCAUCUAUUUUUCUUCUAUCUCUAUCAUUUUUGAUCUGUAUCAUCUAUCUAAUCUAUCAUUUAUUUAUCUACAUCAACCAUUGAUCUAUUAUCUAUCAUCUAUUAUCUAUAAUCUGUAUAUGACCUAUCUGUUAUCUCUAUCCAUCUAUCAAUCUGCCAUCUAUCGAUCUAUCUAUGCCUGCCACACACCCACACCCACUGUGCCAGACACUGAAUGAAUGAGGUGGAAUGAGAUAGGGUCCCUGCCUGGCAGAAGCUCAGAGUUGGGUGGGAAGGAUGGAUUCUAAGGAGGAUGAGGGCCCCCUUGUUGAGACAGUGGACUCCCAGCAGCCUCAAACAUGUUAUUUCUCAUUUAUUUCUAGACGAAAAAGUGGUAUGCUGCUAACAAUCAGCUCUCAAAAAAAAAAAAAAAACAAAAAACAGCACGCGUGUGUAGCUUCCCAAUUUCCAUGGUGUAAGCACGAUCACUGAGGCCAAUUUCAAGGCCCCAGUGUGAGGUCACUGAGCCAGCUUGGGUGGUGAUGAACCACCACACAUAUACGAGGGAUGUAAAUAAUUUCAAGAGCACAGAUAACAGCAAAAUAAUUUAAAGUGGUGAGUUUUGAGUACUGUAUAUCUGUGGUACUAUAACUUAAUUAGUUCUAAGUUAAUGUAAUUUAGUUUUUAAUAAUGACAACCUACUUUUUUCUUAACUAUAUAUUUUAUUGCUUUUUAGGUUUUGGGGUACAUGUGAAGAACAUGCAAGAUUGUUGCAGAGGUACAUAUAUGGCAAUGUAGUUUGCUGCCUUCCUCCCCAUCACCUAUAUCUGGCAUUUCUCCCCAUGUUAUUCCUCCCCAACUCCCCACCCCCUGCUGUCCCUCCCCUGGUUCCCCCCUCCACAGACCCCAGUGUGUGAUGCUCCACUCCCUGUGUCCAUGUGUUCUCAUCGUUCAACACCUACCUAUGAGUGAGAACAUGCGGUGUUUGAUUUUCUGUUCUUGUGUCAGUUUGCUGAGAAUGAUGGUUUCCAGGUUCAUCCAUUUCCCUACAAAGGACACAAACUCAUCGUUUUUUAUGGUUGCAUAGUAUUCCAUGGUGUAUAUGUGCCACAUUUUUCCUGUCCAGUCUAUCAUCGAUGGGCAUUUGGGUUGAUUCCAGGUGUUUGCUAUUGUAAACAGUGCUGCAAUGAACAUUCGUGUGCAUGUGUCCUUAUAAGAGAAUGAUUUAUAAUCCUUUAAUGAUAUAUACCCAGUAAUGGGAUUGCUGGGUCAAAUGGAAUUUCUAAUUCUAGUUCCUUGAGGAAUUGCCACACUGUCAUGUAAAAGUGUUCGUAUUUCUCUACAUCCUCUCCAGCAUGUCAUCUCCAGAUGUUUUAAUGAUCGCCAUUCUAACUGAUGUGAGAUGGUAUCUCAAUGUAGUUUUGAUUUGCAUUUCUCUAAUGACCAGUGAUGAUGAGCAUUUUUUCCUAUGUUUGUUGGCCUCAUAUAUGUCUUCUUUUGUAAAGUGUCUGUUCAUAUCCUUCGCCCGCUUUUGAAUGGGCUUGUUUGUUUUUUCCUUGUAAAUCUGUUUUAGUUCUUUGUAGAUUCUGGAUAUUAGCCCUUUGUCAGAUGGGUAGAUCGCAAAAAUUUUUUCCCAUUCUGUUGGUUGCUGAGUCACUCUAAUGACUGUUUCUUUCUUUCUUUUUUUUUUUUUUGAGACAGAGUUUUACUCGUUACCCAGGCUGGAGUCCAAGGGUGUGAUCUCGGCUCACUGCAACCUCUGCCUCCUGGGUUCAGGAAAUUUGCCUGCCUCAGCCUCCAGCUGGGAUUACAGGCAUGUGCCACCAUGCCCAGCUAACUUUUUGUAUUUUUAGUAGAUACGGGGUUUCACCAUAUUGACCAGGAUGGUCUCAAUCUCUUGACCUCGUGAUUCACCCGCCUUGGCCUCCCAAAGUGCUGGGAUUACAGGUGUGAGCCACCGCGCCCAGCCAAUGACUGUUUUUUUUGUGUGUGCAGAAGCUCUGGAGUUUGAUUAGGUCCCAUUUGUCUAUUCUGGCUUUUGUUGCCAAUGCUUCUGGUGUUUUAGUCAUGCAGUCCUUGCCUAUGCCUAUGUCCUGAAUGGUUUUACCUAGAUUUUCUUCUAGGGUUUUUAUGGUGGUAGGUCUUAUGUUUAAAUCUUUAAUCCAUCUGGAGUUAAUUUUAGUGUAAGGUGUCAGGAAGGGGUCCAGUUUCUGCUUUCUGCACAUGGCUAGCCAGUUUUCCCAACACCAUUUAUUAAACAGGGAAUCGUUUCCCCAUUGCUUGUUUUUGUCAGGUUUGUCAAAGAUCAUAUGGCUGUAGAUGUGGGGUGUUGCCUCCAAGGCCUCUGUUCUGUUCCAUUGGUCUGGGUCUCUGUCUUGGUACCAGUACCAUGCUGUUUUGAUUACUGUAGCUUUGUAGUAUAGUUUGAAGUCAGGUAGCAUGAUCCCUCCAGCUUUGUUCUUUUUGCUUAGAAUUAGCUUGGCUGAGUGAGCUCUCUUUUGGUUCCGUAUGAAGUUUAGGGUGGUUUUUUUCCAGUUAUGUGAAGGUCAUCGGUGGCUUGAUGGGGAUAGCAUUGAAUCUGUAAAUUACUUUUGGCAGUAUGACCACUUUCAUGAUAUUGAUUCUUUUAACCAUGAGCAUGGAAUAUUUGUAUCCUCUCUUAUUUCAUUGAGCAGUGGUUUGUAGUUCUCCUUGAAGAGGCUCUUUACUUUCUUUGUUAGUUGUAUUCCUAGGUAUUUUAUUCUUCGCAGCAAUUGUGAAUAGCAGUUCGUUCUUAAUUUGGAUCUUUUUAUGUCUGUUAUUGGUGUAUAGGAAUGCUUGUGAUUUCUGCAUACUGAUUUUAUAUCCUGAGACUUUGCUGAAGUGGCUUAUCAGUUUCAGGAGAUUUUGGGCUGAGACGAUGGGGUCUUCUAAAUAUACAAUCAUAUCAUCUGCAAAUAGAAACAGUUUGAUUUCCUCCUUUCCUAAUUGAAUACCCUUUAUUUCUUUAUCUUGCCUGAUUGUUCUGGCUAGAACUUCCAAUACUAUAUUGAAUAGGAGUGGUGAGAGAGGGCAUCCUUGUCUAGUGCCAGAUUUCAAAGGGAAAGCUUUCAGUUUUUGUCCAUUCAGUAUGAUAUUGGCUGUGGGUUUGUCAUAAAUAGCCUUUAUUAUUUGGAGAUAUGUUCCAUCAAUACCUAGUUUUAUGAGAGUUUUAGAAUAAAGGCUGUUGAAUUUUGUCAGAGGCCUUCUUUGCAUCUAUUGAGAUAAUCAUGUGGUUUUUGUCUUUGGUUCUGUUUAUGUGGUGAAUUUAUAGACUUGCGUAUGUUAAACCAGCCUUGCAUCCCUGGGAUAAAGCCUACUUGAUCAUGAUGGAUAAGCUUUUUGAUAUUCUGUUGCAAUCGGUUUGCCAGUAUUUUAUUGAAGAUUUUUUGCGUCUAUGUUCAUCAUGGAUGUUGGCUUGAAAUUUUCUUUCCUUGUUGAGUCUCUGCCGGGUUUUGGUAUCAGGAUGAUGUUGGUCUCAUAAAAUGAUUUGGGAAGGAUUCCCUCUUUUUGGAUUGUUUGGAAUAGCUUCAGGAGGAGUGGUACCAGUUCCUCUUUGUAUGUCUGGUAGAAUCUGGCUGUGAACCCAUCUGAACCUGGGCUUUUUUUGGUUGGUAGGCUAUUAAUUGCUGCCUCAACUUCAGCCCUUGUUAUUGGUCUAUUCAGAGUUUUGACUUCUUCCUGGUUUAGCCUUGGGAGGAUGCAAGUAUCCAGGAAUUUAUCCAUUUCUUCCAGGUUUACUGGUUUAUGUGCAUAGAGUUGUUUGUAGUAAUCUCUGAUGGUGGUUUGUAUGUCUGUGGAAUCUGUGGUGAUAUCCCCUUUAUUGUUUUUUAUUGGAUCUAUUUGAUUAUUCUCUAUUUUCUUUUUUAUUAAUCUGGCUAGUGGUCUAUUUUGUUGAUCAUUUCAAAAAACCAGCUCCUGGACUGAUGAUUUUUUUUGAAGGGUUUUUUGUGUCUCUAUCUCCUUCUGUUCUGCUCUGAUGUUAGUUAUUUCUUGUCUUCUGCUAGGUUUUGAGUUUUUUUGAUCUUGCUCCUCUAGCUCUUUCAAUUUUGAUGACAAGGGUGUCGAUUUUAGAUCUUUCCUUGCUUCUCAUGUGGGCAUUUAUUGCUAUAUAUUUUCCUCUAGACACUGCUUUAAAUGUGUCCCAGAGAUUCUGGUAUGUUGUGUCUUCAUUCUCGUUGGUUUCGAAGAACAUCUUUAUAUCUGCCUUCAUUUGUUUAUCCAGUCAAGAUUCAAGAGCCAGUUGUUCAGUUUCCAUGAAGCUGUGCGGUUCUGAAUUAGUUUCUGAAUUCUGAGUUCUAACUUGAUUGCACAGUGGUCUGAGAGACUAUUAUGAUAUCUGUUCUUUUGCAUUUGCUGAGAAGUAAUUUACUUCUGAUUAUGUAGUCAAUUCUAGAGUAGGUGUGAUGUGGUGCUGAGAAGAAUGUAUAUUCUGUGAAUUUGGGGUGGAGAGUUCUGUAAGUGUCUAUUAGGUUUACUGGGUCCAGGUCUGAGUUCAAGUCCUGGAUAUCCUUGUUAAUUUUUUGUCUCAUUGAUCUGUCUAAUAUUGACAGUGGAGCAUUAAAGUCUCCCACUACUAUUGUGUGGGAGUCUUAAGUCUCUUUGGAAGUCAUUAAGAACUUGCUUUAUGUAUCUGGGUGCUCCUCUAUUGGGUGCAUAUAUAUUUAGGAUGGUUAGCUCUUCUUGUUGCAUUGAUCCUUUUACCAUUAUGUAAUGUCCUUCUUUGUCUCUUUUGCUCUUUGUUGUCCCCCCCUCCAUUAGUACUACUUUUGUUGUAUCCCAUAUGUUUUGGUAUGGUGUGUUUUCAUUUUCUUUCUUUCUUUAUUUUAAGAGAGAAAGAGAAAGGGGGAGAGAGAACAGGAGUCUUGCUCUGUUGCCCAGGCUGGAUUACAAUCUGAAAAUAGGUAUUAAAAACCUCUAUUAUACUGAAAAUUGUGCUUAACAAUGGAGACAGGAAGGAAUAAGGUAAGAAAAUAACAAUCAAACAGCCAACCAAUAUUUCAUUUAAGUCUGUGAAAUGCUAUGCAAAUGCUGAGGAGUGAUUUACUUUCAAUUAUGUGGUCACUUUCAAAAUAGGUGUAAUGUGAUACUGAGAAAAAUGUAUGUUCUGUGGACGUGGGGUGAAGAAUUCUAUAAAUAUUCACUGAGUUUACUUGUUCCAAGAUCUGAGUUCAAAUCACAGAUGUCCCUGUUAAUUUUCUAUCUCAUUGAUCCAUCGAAUAUUAACGAUGUGGUGUCAAAGUCUCCCGCUAUUAUUGUGCAGGACUCAAAGUCUCUUGUCUUAUGUAUCUGGGUAUUCCUAUAUUGAGUGCAUAUAUAUUUAUGAUCAUUGACUCCUGUUGUUGCAUUGAUCCUUUUACCAUUAUGUAAUGUCUUUGUUUUUUUUUUUAGUCUUUGUUACUAAAGUCUAUUUUGUCAGAGAUGAAAGUUACAACUCCUGUUUUUUGUUUUCCUCUCCAUUUGAUUGGUAAGUCUUCCACCAACCCUUUGAGUCUUGGUGUGUCCUUGCUUAUGAGAUGGUCUGGAUACAGUGUACUGAUGGGUUUUGACUUUUUAUUCAAUUUGCCUGUCUGUGUCUUUGAUUGGGGCAUUUAAUCCAUUUAAAUUUAGGAUUAAUAUUGAUAUUUGUGAGUUUAAUAUUGUCUUUUAAUGCUAGCUGGCAAUUUUUCCCAUUAUUUAAUAUAGAUUCUUCAUUAUGGAGAUACUCUUUACCUUUUGGUAAGCUUUUGGGAUGGCUGAUACCAGUUGUUUCUUUCUGUAUGUAAUGCUUCUUUAAGAAGUUCUUGUAAAGCAGGCCUGGUGGUGAUGAAAUCUCUGAGUGUUUGCUUGUUUGUGAAAAAUUUUAUUUUUCCUUCAUUUAUGAACCUUAGUUUGGCUGGAUAUGAGAUUCUAGGUUGAAAAUUAUUUUCUUUGAGGAUACUGAAUAUUGACCCCCACUCUCUUCUAGUUUGUAAGGUUUCUGCUGAGAGAUCUGCUGUGAGUCUGAUAGGCUUCCCUUUAUGGGUAACCUGACCUUUCUCUCUAGCUGCCCUUAGAGUUUUCUCCUUUAUUUCAACCCUGGUGAAUCUAAUGAUUAUGUGUCUUGGGGUUGCUCUACUUGAGGAAUAUCUUUGUGGUGGUCUCUGUAUUACCUGGCAUUGAGUAUUGUCCUGCCUUACUAGGUUAGGAAAGUUUUCCUGAAUAAUAUCCUGAAGAAUAUUUUCCAGCUUGGGUUCAUUCUCUUCAUGACAUUCAGGUACACCUAUCAAAUGUAAACUAGGUCUUUUCACAUAGUACCAUAUUUCUUGGAGACUUUGCUCAUUCCAUUUAACUCUUUUCUCUCUAGUCUUGCCUUCUCAUUUUAUUUCAUUGAGAUGAUCUUCAAACUCUGAUAUCGUUUCUUCUUCUUGGUCACUUCGGCUACUGAAACUUGUGUAUGCUUCGUGAUGUUCUUGUGUUUUUCAGCUCCAUCAAUUCAUUUAUGUUCCUCUCUAAGCUGUCUAUUCUCGUUAGCAUUUCGUCAGACCGUUUUUCAGGGUUCUUUGUUUACAUUCAGAGCUGCUGGGCAUGUACGUUUAAGUCUGCUGUAGCAGAACUCAUAACCACCUUUUUUUCCCCAGGUGCUCUGUCCUGGGAAGUUAGGGCUUUAUUUACAAGUUUGUCAUGCUGCUGCCUUUUUUCAAGGAUGUCCUGCCCAGUGAGGAGACAGCCUAGUCACAGUCUGCUAGCAGAGGCAUUGCUGAUCUGCUGUGGGCUCUGCCCAGUUGCUGUGUGAACUUCCCUGCAGUCCUGCUUAUAGGGGUAUAGUUAGAACUGCUCCAGCAAUGGCGACCUGCCUCUGUAAUGACAGAUUGCCUUGGCAAUAGCAGACUGUCUCUGUAGUGGCGGAUCACCUCGGUAGUGGUGGACUACCUUGGAAAUGGCGCCUGGAUUUGUGUGAGUUCUUGUGCAAAGACCUGCUGUGGUGGCUGAAAUAGUUGUGCUGGGGGCUCGUGGUGCUUUUUUGCCCAGGAAUCUCCUGGCCUGGCUCCCUGUUUCAGUCCUCUUUUUUUCAGUUGAAUGGGCUACUCUCCUGGGCGUUCCAGUCGCCAGUUGAAAAGGCACCCGGAUUUGUGUGAGAUUUUGUGCGGAGAACCACUGUGCCAUCUGUGCUUUUCUGCCCGGGAAUCUCCUGGCCUGGCUCCCUAUAUCAGUACCCUUUUUAUCAGUUAAAUGAGUGACUCUGUCUUCCUGGCCCUCCCAUCACCAGCUGAAAUGGCGCCUGGAACUGUGUGAAUUUUCUGAGUGUAGAGCUGUCAUGCCAGCUGAAAUAGCCACGCUGGAGACCUGUGGUGCUCCUCCACCCGGGAAUCUUCUGGUUAGUGGGCAAUAAAAAUCCGUUUGUAAAUGUGGUAACCACUCACCCUCUGCACGCUUGCUGGGAGCUGCAAUCCAGAGCUGCUCCUACUUGGCCCUCUUGGAUCCCCUCUGACAACCUAUUUUCGCAACUGCCUGCACAUCUCAUUGUGGCCCUCAGGAUGUGGCUGGCUCCUGUGCUGAGCAGAGUGACUCAUGUGAGGUCAUUUCCGCAGCCAAGUGCAUCCUCCCACCACUUCACAGAUGGCAACUUCUGCCUGUGCGUCCUCAGACUCACACUCUCCACAGAGUGAGACUUCCAUUGACUGCCAUUAACUCCCUGACUUAAAAUAUUUCAUGUCUCUUUGUGAAUGAGGGUCCUUUAUGCUGAAUGUUAUUUAAGCUGUAGGUUUUUGUUUUUGUACAGGAUAGAAAACAGAUGAACACAUACAUUAUAAGAUGGUCUCUCUGUAUAAAUAAUGCACGGUCCAGAUGCUUAUGGUUUGGAAUUGUUAGUAUAACAUAUGCUUCCACUCAGAAAUGGUUCAGUGUGGCUCCAUUCUGAAACAGCUCCUGCCUUAGCACUGACACGCUUGUCUUACGCUUGGUCUGAUUUUGGCAGAUCCACAGGUACCUUCAUGCCAAAGGCUGUGUCCCGAUGAUGCUGCUUGUGCCUGGCCCAGAGGAGAGGCUCUGAGUGGUGGUACUACUUCUGUCAUCAUCGGGGCCACUGUCGCCCCUCCUCCCCCUCCUGCUCACCAGCAAGGGCCAUUGACUCGGCCCCUGAGGACCAUCAAGGGCCACUGAAUGCACCUUGCCGUGGUAUGCACCCUGCAACCGAGCAGCACUGGCGAGCCGUUGGAGGCCAGAGCUCAGAUGCAGAAGAAGAUGAUACCUGGAUUGGAACUCCUGCAGUCUCCAUUCAGGGAACGGCGCAGGGGCAGGACCCGAGGAGGGAAAGGUGUCAGCAUGGAAGGACGGGCACAAGGAGCUCCUCAGAAGUGGGACUCAGGGAGCCGGGGGCUUAGCGCUCCCCACCAGCUGCAGCUGACAUCUGCGAGAGGAAGCUGUGGGCCUCACCUGGCGAUCUUGUCAGUGCAGGACAUGGUAACCAGCUGCUCCCCCAGCAGGAUGCCGUCCCAGGUCUGCACUGCACUGGAACCACGCACGGGGACCGUCCCUUCCCCGGACUCUAUCUUGGUGCGCAGGUGCCCGCGGAACUUCCUGACCAGGUGUUUGCUGCUGUGCACUAGGAGAGAAGAGGGCGGAGAGGUGAGAAGAGGCAAGCUGCCUUGGUUUUGAGGGGUGGGAGGGGAGGAAGGGCUGCCAUGGAGGUUAAAGUCUCCCAUGCUAUGGCUGGGCAUGUGGCAUGGGGAAGGGGCUUCAGAAGCAAGUGCAGUGUGGGGGUAGUCUCCAGAGCCACAGCAUCUGGCCUUGGCUGGGAGUAAAACCCCCAGCUUCAUGGGCCAAACUCUCUUCUCACCAAACCCACCUCUGCUGGGUAAGCACAGCUGCAGCCUAAACCAUGCUCAGGUGAGCACGUGCCAUUGCCUCCCCAGGUACUUCAUUACAGACACAGUCUUGAACCCACAGUUGGAUGUGUAGUUUUCAGGUGUCAUGAAAUACCAUUUUCUCACUUUUGCAGCCAUUAAAAAUGUAAAUAUGCUCAGCAGGAGGGCUGUGCAGAAAUAGGUGAUGAGUGGAGCUUGGCUCUUAUCCUUGUCUAGAUGUCAAUUCUGGCCCCAUGGGAACCUGGAGAAAGUUUCUCAGAGUCUCUGUGACCUGGUUCUUCCUCUAACUAAGGGGUAAUAGGAGUGCUGGUUGCCCCAGCUCUGAGGAGUCAGUGAGGCAGCUCCUGUGAAAGUGCAGGGAUAGCCUGGGUGCCUCUGCUCUUGCUGCAUCCCCCGAUUACUGAGGGUCUCUACAGGCAGGAGCUCUGCCAGGCUCAGAAGUGACGGAGCCUCUGGUGGGUCUCUGUGGGCCCCUCAGGUGUUCUGUGUUCUACUUUCCAUGGUCCCCUCAAAACCCCUGCCCCCUGCACCCCAUACCCCACAGUUACUUGGAGAAUGAGCAGGAGCAAGAGGAAGAUUAAAAGCUUAAAUGUUUUUUUCUUUCUUUGACAAAUUUUUUUUUUUUAGAUGGAGUCUCGCUUUGUCACCCUAGCUGGAAUGCAGUGUGGCAUGAUCUCGGCUCAUGCAACUCCUGCCUCGCAGAUUUAAAUGAUUCUGCCACCUCAGCCUCCUGAGUAGCUGGGAUUACAGGCCCCUGCCACCAUGCCCAGCUAAUUUUUGUAUUUUCAGUAGUGACAGGUUUUUGCCAUGUUGGCUAGGCUGGUCUUGAACUCCUGACCUCAGGUGAUCCACCCGCCUCAGCCUCACAAAAGUGCUGGGAUUGUAAGGGUAAGCCACAGCACCCAGCCAAAAUUGUGUAUGUUAAAUCUGGAUUAUAUUGUAAUAUAGAAAUGGUCCUGAGGAGGGAUCCAAGAUGGCUGAUUAGGAGCAGCUCUGGAUUGCAGCUCCCAGCAAGAGCACAGAGGGUAAGUGGACACUGCAUUUCCAGAUGGAUUUUUAUUGCUCACAGACCAGGAGAUUCCUGGGUGGAGGAGCACCCUGGGUCACCAGCACGGCUGUUUUGGCUGGCAUGGCAGGUCGCCGCACAAAAAACUCACACGGGUCCAGGUGCCAUUUCAGCUGGCGACUGCAGUGCCUGGUUGACAGAGUCGCCCGUUCAAUUGAUAAAAAGGGGACUGAAACAGGGAGCCAGGCCAGGAGAUUCCAGGGUGAAAAAGUGCCAAGAAUCUCCAGCACGGCUGUUUGAGCUGGCGCAGUGGGUCUCUGCACAGGAAAUCACACAGAUCUGGGCACCUUUUCAACAGGUGACGGGAAACACCUGGGAGACAGAGUCGCCCAUUCACCUGAAAAAAGGGGACCGAAACAGGGAGCCAGGCCAGGAGAUUCCAGGGUGAAAAAGUGCCAAGAAUCUCCAGCACGGCUGUUUGAGCUGGCGCAGUGGGUCUCUGCACAGGAAAUCACACAGAUCUGGGCACCUUUUCAACAGGUGACGGGAAACACCUGGGAGACAGAGUCGCCCAUUCACCUGAAAAAAGGGGACCGAAACAGGGAGCCAGGCCAGGAGAUUCCAGGGUGAAAAAGUGCCAAGAAUCUCCAGCACGGCUGUUUUGGCUGGCAUGGCAGGUCGCCGCACAAAAAAACUCACACGGGUCCAGGUGCCAUUUCAGCUGGCGACUGCAGUGCCUGGUUGACAGAGUCGCCCGUUCAAUUGAUAAAAAGGGGACUGAAACAGGGAGCCAGGCCAGGAGAUUCCAGGGUGAAAAAGUGCCAAGAAUCUCCAGCACGGCUGUUUGAGCUGGCGCAGUGGGUCUCUGCACAGGAAAUCACACAGAUCUGGGCACCUUUUCAACAGGUGACGGGAAACACCUGGGAGACAGAGUCGCCCAUUCACCUGAAAAAAGGGGACCGAAACAGGGAGCCAGGCCAGGAGAUUCCAGGGUGAAAAAGUGCCAAGAAUCUCCAGCACGGCUGUUUGAGCUGGCGCAGUGGGUCUCUGCACAGGAAAUCACACAGAUCUGGGCACCUUUUCAACAGGUGACGGGAAACACCUGGGAGACAGAGUCGCCCAUUCACCUGAAAAAAGGGGACCGAAACAGGGAGCCAGGCCAGGAGAUUCCAGGGUGAAAAAGUGCCAAGAAUCUCCAGCACGGCUGUUUUGGCUGGCAUGGCAGGUCGCCGCACAAAAAACUCACACGGGUCCAGGUGCCAUUUCAGCUGGCGACUGCAGUGCCUGGUUGACAGAGUCGCCCGUUCAAUUGAUAAAAAGGGGACUGAAACAGGGAGCCAGGCCAGGAGAUUCCAGGGUGAAAAAGUGCCAAGAAUCUCCAGCAUGGCUGUUUGAGCUGGCGCAGUGGGUCUCUGCACAGGAAAUCACACAGAUCUGGGCACCUUUUCAACAGGUGACGGGAAACACCUGGGAGACAGAGUCGCCCAUUCACCUGAAAAAAGGGGACCGAAACAGGGAGCCAGGCCAGGAGAUUCCCAAGUGGAAAACUGCCACAAGUGUCCAGCACAGCCAGUGCAGUGGGUCUUUGUACAAAAUCUCACACAAAUCCAGGUACCUUUUGAACCGGUAACUGGAACACCUGGGAGACAGAGUCGCCCGUUCAACUGAAACAAAAGGGGACUGAAACAGAGGCAGGCCAGGAGAUUCCUGGGUGAAAAAGCGCCAUGAGCCCCCAGUGUGGCUGUUUCAGCUGGUGCAGCUCUGCACAAGAAAUCACACAAAUCCCGGUGCCAUUUCAACUGGUGACUGGAACACCUGGGAGAGUCACCCAUUCAACUUAAAAAAAAAAAAAAAAAAAAAAAAAAAGGAUUGGAGGCAGGGAGCCAGGUCAUCAGGCUCAGCCGAUCCCACCCCCCACAAAGACCAGCAAUCUGAAACACUCUGGAUUGUGAGUUUCACAGCAAGCACAGCUGAACCUGGGACAGUCUAGCUCUGUGGGGGAGGGGCAUCUGCCAUUACAGAGGCAGCUUGCCAUUGCUGAUGCAGUCUGUCAUUAUAGAGUCCGCCAUUGCUGAGGCAGUUCUAACUAUACCCCUAUAAACAGGACUGCAGGGAAAUUCACAUGGCAGCUGGGCAGAGCCCACAGCAGAUCAGCAAUGCCUCUGUGGCAGACUGUGACUAGGCUGCCUCCUCACUGGGCACGACAGACCUGAAAAAAGGCAGCAGCACAACAAACUUACAAAUAAAGCCCUACCAUCCCAGGAGACAGCACCUGGGGGAAAAAAGGCGAUUAUGAGUUCUGCUGCAGCAGACUUAAAUGUACCUGCCCAGCAACUCUUAAUGGAACAAUGGAGCUCACAGCUCAGCACUUAAGCUUUUAUAAAGGACAGACUGUCUCCUCAAGCAGCUCUCCGACCCCCAUAUAUCCAAAGAGUCACCUGAUAAAAGAGAGCUCAGACUGACAUCUGGCAGGUAUCCUUCUGGGACAAAGAUAGCAGCAGAAGAAACUGGCAGCAACCCUUACUGUUCUGCAGCUGCUGCAGGGAAUCCCCAGGCAAGCAGGGUCUGGAGUGGACCUCAGCAGUCCUACAGCAGAGGGGCCUGUUAGAAGGAAAACUAAGAAACAGAAAUAACUUCAUCAUCAACAAACUGGAUAUCCACAGGAUUUAUUUACCUGUGGUCUUUGUAGUUGGUGACUUUCAGAGACCCCAUCUGAAAGUCACUAACUACAAAGACCACAGGUAAAUAAAUCCACAAAGAUGGAAAGAAACCAGCGCAAAAAGGAUGAAAACACCCAAAACCAGAAUGCCUCUCCACCUCAAAGGGAUCACAACUCCUCACCAGCAAGGGAUCAAGGCUGGAUGGAGAAUGAGUCUGAUGAAUUGACAGAAACAGGCUUCAGAAGGUGGGAAAUAAGAAACUCCUCUGAGCUAAAAGAACAUUUUCUAACCCAAUGCAAAGAAACUAAGGACGUUGAAAAAAGGUCUGACAAAAUGCUAAGAGAAUAAACAGCUUAGAGAGGAACAUAAAUGAAUUGAUGGAGCUGAAAAAUACAACAUGAGAACAUUGUGAAGCAUACACAAGUUUCAGUAGCCAAAUUGACCAAGCAGAAGAAAGGAUAUCAGAGUUUGAAGAUCAUCUCAAUGAAAUAAAACAAGAAGGCAAGACUAGAGAAAAAAAGAGUUAAAUGGAAUGAGCAAAGUCUCCAAGAAAUAUGGGACUAUGUGAAAAGACCUAGUUUACGUUUGAUAGGUGUGCCUGAAUGUCAUGAAGAGAAUGAAUCCAAGCUGGAAAAUACUCUUCAGGAUAUUAUUCAGGAAAACUUUCCUAACCUAGUAAGGCAGGACAAUACUCAACUCCAGGUAAUAUAGAGAACACCACAAAGAUAUUCCUCAAGUAGAGCAACCCCAAGACACAUAAUCAUUAGAUUCACAAGAGUUGAAAUAAAAGAGAAAAUUCUAAGGGCAACUAGAGAGAAAGGUCAGGCUACCCAUAAAGGGAAGCCUAUCAGACCCACAGCAGAUCUCUCAGUAGAAACCUUACAAACUAGAAGAGAGGGGGGGUCAAUAUUGAGUAACCUCAAAGAAAAGAAUUUUCAACCUAGAAUCUCAUAUCCAGCCAAACUAAGGUUCAUAAAUGAAGGAAAAAUAAAAUUUUUCACAAAUAAGCAAGCACUCAGAGAUUUCAUCACCACCAGGCCUGCUUUACAAGAGCUUCUUAAAGAAGCAUUACAUACAGAAACAACCAGUAUCAGUCAUCCCAAAAGCAUACCAAAAGGUAAAGAGUAUCUCCAUAAUGAAGAAUCUAUAUUAAAUAAUGGGAAAAAUUGCCAGCUAGCAUUACAAGACAAUAUUAAACUCACAAAUAUCAAUAUUAAUCCUAAAUUUAAAUGGAUUAAAUGCCCCAAUCAAAGACACAGACAGGCAAAUUGAAUAAAACGUCAAAACCCAUCAGUGCACUGUAUCCAGAUCCAUCUCAUAAGCAAGGACACACAAAGACUCAAAACAGAGGAUUGGUGGAAGACUUACCAAUAAAAUGGAGAGGAAAAAAACAAAACAAAACAGGAGUUGUAACUUUCAUCUCUGACAAAAUACACAUUAAUAGUAACAAAGACUAAAAGAAACAAAGAAGGACAUUACAUAAUGGUAAAAGGAUCAAUGCAACAACAGGAGUCAAUGAUCAUAAAUAUAUAUGCACUCAAUAUAGGAAUACCCAGAUACAUAAGACAAGAGACUUUGAGUCCUGCACAAUAAUAGUGGGAGACUUUGACACCACAUCGUUAAUAUUCGAUGGAUCAACGAGAUAGAAAAACAGGGACAUCUAUGAUUAGAACUCAGAACUGGAACAAGUAAACUCAGUGAAUAUUUGUAGAAUUCUUCACCCCAGGUUCACAGAACAUACAUUUUUCUCAGUAUCACAUUACACCUAUUUUGAAAGUGACCACAUAAUUGAAAGUAAAUCACUCCUCAGCAUUUGCAUAGCAUUUCACAGACUUAAAUGAAAUAUUGGUUGGCUGUUUGUUUGUUAUUUUCUUACCUUAUUCCUUCCCGUCUCCACUGUUAAGCAUAAUUAUUGGUAUAAAAUAGGUUUUUAAUACCUAUUUUCAGAUUGUAAUCCAGCCUGGGCAAUAGAGCAAGACUCCUGUUCUCUCUCCCCCUUUCUCUCUCUUAAAAAAAAAAAAAAGAAAGAAAAUGAAAACACACCAUACCAAAACAUGGGAUACAACAAAAGUAGUACUAAUGGGGGGGGACAACAAAGAUCAAAAGAGACAAAGAAGGACAUUACAUAAUGGUAAAAGGAUCAAUGCAACAAGAAGAGCUAACCAUCCUAAAUAUAUAUGCACCCAAUAGAGGAGCACCCAGAUACAUAAAGCAAGUUCUUAAUGACUUCCAAAGAGACUUAAGACUCCCACACAAUAGUAGUGGGAGACUUUUAACACUCCACUGUCAAUAUUAGACAGAUCAACGAGAUAAAAAAUUAACAAGAAUAUCCAGGACUUGAACUCAGACCUGGACCCAGCAAACCUAAUAGACAUUUACAGAACUCUCCACCCCAAAUUCACAGAAUAUACAUUCUUCUCAGCACCACAUCACACCUACUCUAGAAUUGACCACAUAAUCAGAAAUAAAUCACUCCUCAGCAAAUGCAAGAACAGAAAUUAUAACAGUCUUUCAGACCACAGUGCAAUCAAGUUAGAACUCAGAAUUCAGAAACUAAUUUAGAAUUGCACAGCUUCAUGGAAACUGAACAACUGGCUCUUGAAUCUUGACUGGAUAAACAAAGAAAUGAAGGCAGAUAUAAAGAUGUCUUCGAAACCAAUGAGAAUGAAGACACACCGCACCAGAAUCUCUGGGACACAUUUAAAGCAGUGUCUAGAGGAAAACAUAUAGCAAUAAAUGACCACAUGAGAAGCAAGGAAAGAUCUAAAAUUGACACCCUUGUCAUCAAAAUUGAAAGAGCUAGAGGAGCAAGAUCAAAAAAACUCAAAACCUAGCAGAAGACAAGAAAUAACUAAAAUCAGAGGAGAUAGAGAAACAAAAAACCCUUCAAAAAAAAAAUCAUCAGUCCAGGAGCUGGUUUUUUGAAAGGAUCAACAAAAUAGACCACUAGCCAGAUUAAUAAAAAAGAAAAUAGAGAAUAAUCAAAUAGAUCCAAUAAAAAACAAUAAAGGGGAUAUCACCACAGAUUCCACAGACAUACAAACCACCAUCAGAGAUUACUACAAACAACUCUAUGCACAUAAACCAGUAAACCUGGAAGAAAUGGAUAAAUUCCUGGAUACUUGCAUCCUCCCAAGCCUAAACCAGGAAGAAGAAGAAACCCUGAAUAGACCCAUAACAAGGGCUGAAGUUGAGGCAGCAAUUAAUAGCCUAUCAACCAAAAAAAGCCCAGGUUCAGAUGGGUUCACAGCCAGAUUCUACCAGACAUACAAAGAGGAGCUGGUACCACUCCUCCUGAAGCUAUUCCAAACAAUCCAAAAAGAGGGAAUCCUUCCGAAAUCAUUUUAUGAGACCAACAUCAUCCUGAUACCAAAACCCAGCAGAGACUCAACAAGAAAAGAAAACUUGAGGCUAAUAUCCAUGAUGAACAUAGACACAAAAAAUCUUCAGUAAAAUACUGGCAAACCAAUUGCAACAGCACAUCAAAAAGCUUAUCCAUCAUGAUCAAGUAGGCUUCAUCCCAGGGAUGCAAGGCUGGUUCAACAUACGCAAGUCUAUAAAUACACCACAUAAACAGAACCAAAGACAAAAACCACAUGAUUAUCUCAAUAGAUGCAAAGUCUCAGGAUAUAAAAUCAGUAUGCAGAAAUCACAAGCAUUCCUAUACACCAAAGUUUUUAGUAUAAAGGCCUCUGACAAAAUUCAACAGCCUUUAUACUAAAAACUCUUAUAAAACUAGGCAUUGAUGGAACAUAUCUCAAAAUAACAAAGGCUAUUUAUGACAGACCCACAGCCAAUAUCACACUGAAUGGACAAAAUCUGGAAACUUUCCCUUUGAAAUCUGGCACUAGACAAGGAUGCCCUCUCUCACCACUCGUAUUCAAUAUAGUAUUGGAAGUUCUAGCCAGAACAAUCAGGCAAGAAAAAGAAAUAAAGGGUAUUCAAUUAGGAAAGAAGGAAAUCAAACUGUUUCUAUUUGCAGAUGACAUGAUUGUAUAUUUAGAAGACCCCAUCGUCUCAGCCCAAAAUCUCCUGAAACUGAUAAGCCACUUCAGCAAAGUCUCAGGAUAUAAAAUCAGUAUGCAGAAAUCACAAGCAUUCCUAUACACCAAUAACAGACAUAAAAAGAUCCAAAUUAAGAACGAACUGCCAUUCACAAUUGCUACAAAGAGAAUAAAACACCUAGGAAUACAACUAACAAAGAAUGUAAAGGACCUCUUCAAGGAGAACCGAUUGCUCAAUGAAACAAACCACUGCUCAACGAAAUAAGAGAGGACAUAAACAGAUGGAGAAACAUUCCAUGCUCAUGGUUAGAAGAAUCAAUAUCAUGAAAAUGGCCAUACUGCCCAAAGUAAUUUACAGAUUUGAUGCUAUCCCCAUCAAGCCACCGAUGACCUCCUUCACAGAACUGGAAUAAACUACCCUAAACUUCAUAUGGAACCAAAAGAGAGCUCACACAGCCAAGCUAAUUCUAAGCAAAAAGAACAAAGCUGGAGGGAUCACACUACCUGACUUCAAACUAUACUACAAAGCUACAGUAAUCAAAACAGCAUGGUACAGGUACCAAAACAGAGAUACACAACAAUGGAACAGAACAGAGGCCUUGGAGGCAAUACCACACAUCUAUAGCCAUAUGAUCUUUGACAAACCUGACAAAAACAAGCAAUGGGGAAACAAUUCCCUGUUUAAUAAAUGGUGUUGGGAAAACUGGAUAGCCAUGUGCAGAAAGCAGAAACUGGACCCCUUCCUGACACCUUACACUAAAAUUAACUCCAGAUGGAUUAAAGACUUAAACAUAAGACCUACCACCAUAAAAACCCUAGAAGAAAAUCUAGGUAAAACCAUUCAGGACAUAGGCAUAGGCAAGGACUUCAUGACUAAAACACCAAAAGUAUUGGCAACAAAAGCCAAAUAGACAAAUGGGACCUAAUCAAACUCCAGAGCUUCUGCACAGCAAAAGAAACAGUCAUUAGAGUGACUCGGCAACCAACAGAAUGGGAAAAAAUUUUUGCAAUCUACCCAUCUGACAAAGGGCUAAUAUCCACAAUCUACAAAGAACUAGAACAGAUUUACAAGGAAAAAACAAGCCCAUUCAAAAGUGAGCAAAGGAUAUGAAUAGACACUUUACAAAAGAAGACAUAUAUGAGGCCACGAAACAUAGGAAAAAAUGCUCAUCAUCUCUGGUCAUUAGAGAAAUGCAAAUCAAAACUGCAUUGAGAUACCAUCUCACAUCAGUUAGAAUGGCGAUCAUUAAAAAAUCUGGAGACAUGCUGGAGAGGAUGUGGAGAAAUAGGAACACUUUUACACUGUUCGUGGGAGUGUAAAUUAGUUUAACCACUGUGGAAGACAGUGUGGUGAGUCCUCAAAGAUCUAGAAAUAGAAAUUCCAUUUGACCCAGCAAUCCCAUUACUGGGUAUAUACCCAAAGGAUUAUAAAUCGUUCUACUAUAAGGACACAUGCACACAAAUAUUCAUUGCAGCACUGUUUACAAUAGCAAAUACUUGGAACCAACCCAAAUGCCCAUCGAUGAUAGACUGGACAGGGAAAAUGUACAUAUACACCAUGGAAUACUAUGCAGCCAUUAAAAACGAUGAGUUUGUGUCCUUUUUAGGGACAUGGAUGAACCUGGAAACCAUCAUUCUUAGCAAACUGACACAAGAACAGAAAAUCAAACACCGCAUGUUCUCACUCAUAGGUAGGUAUUGAACGAUGAGAACACAUGGACACAGGGAGUGGAGCAUCACACACUGGGGUCUGUGGAGGGGGGAACCAGGGUAGGGACAGCAGGGUGUGGGGAGUUGGGGAGGGAUAACAUGGGGAGAAAUGCCAGAUAUAGGUGAUGGGGAGGAAGGUAGCUAUCUUGCAUGUUCUUCACAUGUACCCCAAAACCUAAAAUGCAAUAAAAUAUAUAUUUUUAAAAAUGGCCCACUACUUUACAUAUGAAUAUGUAAAAUACAGUGAAUCUAUCAUUUACACAUGUAAGUGAAUAUUAAAUGCUUUCCUUAGAAAGUUUAAGAAGCUGUUGAAAUGGUAUUUCCCCAUUUUCUCUCACCGACGGUCCUGGAUAUGGCUGGGAUCUGUGUCCCCACCGAAAUUUAGUGACAUGUAAUACCCAGUGUAGGAGGUGGAGAUGAUUGGAUAAUGGGGCGGAUUUUUCAUGCAGUUAGUACCAUCCCCUUGGUGCUGUCCUUGAGGUGAUGAAUGGUUCUCAUGAGAUCUGGUUAUUUACAAGUGUGUGGCAUCUCCCUCACCUCUCUCUCUCACUCAUCUCCCCUCUCUCUCACUCUCAUCUCCCCUCUCUCUCACUCUCAUCUCCCUCCCUCCUUCAUUUCCCCCCUUCUUGCUCAUCUCCCCCUUCUCUCUCAUCUCCCUACCUUGCUCUUCUCCCCGACUCAUCUCUCCCCAGCUCAUCUCCCCACUUUCUCACUUAUCUCUCCCCCACCCCCCGCUCAUCUCCCUGACUUCUUGCUCCUGCUCUGGUCAUGUCACCUUCUGCCAUGAUUGUGAGCUUCCUGAGGCCUCCCCAGAUGCCUAGCAGAUGCCAGUAUCAUGCUUCUGGUACAGCCUGCAGAAACUUGAGUCCAUUAAAUCUCCUUUCUUUAUAAAUUACCCAGUCUCAGGUAUUUCUCUAGAGCAAUAUGAGAAUGGACUAAUAUGGUGCUGAAUGGUUAACUAUUGCUUGGGUUUAUACAGGAACUUUCUCCUACAGAUCCCAAGUAAUUUUCAGUGUAUUUCCUGUUUGUUUCUAAGAGCUGACAUUCUUGCACUCUACAUUCAUAGUAUCUAAAGGCUAUGCCUUGGGAAGAAAGAUUGGUGUAUUCUUUGGAGAAAGUAAACUUUUGAGAGGCUUCAGAUGGCUUUUCGCUUUGUAACCCACUAGAUAACUUAAUGAGAUAAAAUUUGGACCGGUCUUUAAGUCAUCCAUGGAAAAAAGAGCCAAGGAGAGGGAUUGAGCCUGGGUAGGCACAGCAAAUGAAUGCCCAGCCCUUCCCUAGAUAAAGCACAAAUCUCUUCUUUGCAGCUUUGGUGGUGAUGGUGAUGAUGAUGGUGGUGGUGAUGACAGUGAAGAUAAUGAUGGCAAUGGUGAUGAUGGUGGAGAUGAUGGUGGGGAUGGGGAUGGUGAUAAUGAAAGUGAUGAAGAUAAUGGUGAUAGUGGUGAUGAUGAUCAUGAUGGUGAUGGUAAUGACGGUGGUGGUGAUGGGGAUGGUGAUAGAAUGGUGAUGAUAAUGAAAGUGAUGGUGAAGGUAAUGGCAAUGGUGACGGUGGUGGUACUGAUUAUGAUGAUGAUGAUGAUCAUGAUGGUGAUGGUGAUAAUGGUGGUAGUGAGGGGGAUGGUCACCAGAUGGUGAUGGUGGUGAUGAUGAUAAUAAAGGUGAUGGUGAUGAUGAUGAUACACUGAACAUAAAGUAGUUCAUAUAACUCUAAACACUUGGUUUAAACUGACUUUUUACAGGUGGGGGUCUUUAUGAACGUCAACUUUCUGUGGAAGACAACACUGAAAGCAUGGAGGAGCCAUCACACCUAACACCUUCCACAACAUUACCACAAUAUUAGGAACUUUACACUUCCAUUUUGGGUAUAUUUUCUCAGGGAAUAUGGCUGUUGCUGUACUUCCAUUUCUGUUAAUUAUAGUAUUCUUAUAUCCUCCCAAUAUUUCAACUAUUGAGGUCUUUUCUGAGAUCUUGAAUGUUGCCUGUUUUAUUGUAAGGCCUUUCCAAAUUCUUACCGGUUGCUACUGCACAACUAACUUUCCAUGAAGUAGACUUCAUAGCCUUUUAAUGCCAUGACAACAGGGAAGCCCAGCUUUAAUUAACAACUGGUUCCUAGGAGGUAACCCAAAGCUUUCAGAUUAGACUAAUUCUGCCUGAAGAGCCAGGUGCAUGAGGUACUUCUGUUUAUUUUCAGAGGUGUUCAGUCAUGGGCUGCCUUCUCCGCAGGCUCCCUGAUGAGUUCGAGCAGCCCCAGGGCGGCCUGAAUGUCGGGGAUCUUGCAGAGCCCAUUUCCUCUGGCUCCUUCCUGGCUAAUUGUGAGAGGCAGGAAGGAGCUGAAGAUGCCACUUAAGGCUGGACAAAAUGCCAAUCCACCUCGCAAUUGCAGGGAGUGGGCCUCAAAUGAUCUGUAGUGCAUUUAGAGUGUGCCUGAGACAGUGGAAGUUAGAUCUUCAAAAUCCUGCCCGCUGUGUAUACACAGAUGCUCCAAAAGUCAUAUAAACAUUCUGGUCCAAUUCUGACAGUCCAAGUCAUUAGACUCUUCACUACAGUGUUUAUUGCCUAGAUAAAACUCUAGAUAAAACACUUAACUUUUGAGAUCAAUGUUAAGGUAAAUGAGGAUAGUUUUUAGAGCCUCAUUUCUUUUUUUUUUGAGAUGGAGUUUUGCUGCUGUUACUCAGACUGGAGUGCAGUGGCACGAUCUCGGCUCACCACAACCUCUGCCUCCUGGGUUCAUGCAAUUCUCCUGCCUCAGCCUCCUGAGUAGCUGAGACUACAGGUGCGCACCACCAUGCCCAGCUAAUUUUGGUAUUUUUAGUAGAGACGGGGUUUCACCUUGUUGACCAGGAUGGUCUCGAUCUCUUGACCUCGUGAUCCACCCGCCUCGGCCUCCCAAAGUGCUGGGAUUAUAGGCGUGAGCCACUGCGCCUGGCCUAGAUCCUCAUGAGGAUUUGCUUUAAAAAAUUGUUCAAGUAAAUGUUUUAUUUUUAGGGGAGAAUCAAAAGGAGCUGGAGACAAACAAGAGGUUUUCCUCUGGGGAGCUAAAGAUUUAUCUAAAGAGAGAUGCAUGGUUGCUAUGACAAGGGGGAGAGAGAGUGCCAAAAAUGAAACAAACCACAGGUAUUAGAAAAGAAGAAAAUAUUUGUAAGCACCAAGUACAUUUUAGACUUUCAAACUGUCUUGCAAAGUUUUAUCCCAGGACGUCUGCCUGUGAAGCAAGCCGGUAUCCACUGUAGUAAUAUCCACAGUAGUUACCGUGUGGCCAUGUGGGUGCGCUUUGCCUUAUUUGAUUGAUGAUGAUAGUGAUGAUGCUGGAUUAUGCUAUUUAAAUUCACUAUCCUACAAUGCACGGAUAUGAUCAUAUUUUCCAUAUUUCUGUUACUCAAUAGGAAAAUCAGAAGACAGGAAUUUAAGGAACUGUAUUUUAUAUUCCCUGACUUCUUAUGAGAUUUUGGUUAAAUCUCUUGAACUGCCUUUCUAUUCGAUGAAUGGAAUUGGCUUAGAACAAAUGUACUAGGCUUUUAGCAUGAACCUGUAGGUAAAUAUAUGACAUAAUCUAUUUUUCCUGGCAUUUUCUGGAUACAGACUGGAGAAUUUAAGCUGUUAAGUUCUCAGAAAAUGACUGUAAGAACUGAAUUUACCAGGCUAUUUAAAAACCAUGCCAAGAAGGAAGAAUCUGCAGGUAGGUUGUUGGUGGGUUGGGAGGAGAAGAGCUGCUCAACCACAGUGAAGUGCUGAGGUCCUCAUCUUCUGCUCCAUUUGGGCCCUUUCAGAACUGCCUGAGUUCUCGCCCAGGCCAUGAAGGAACUGGUUACCCUCUGAGCCUUGGCUGAGAGCAGUCAUCGGAAACCUGACUGACAUAGACACACAGCUAUGUUCUCCUGGCUGUGGGAAGAAAUGUCUUUCAGGCAUUUGUCCUUACCUUAACUGACCUGGCCCUUCUAGGGCCAGGAGAAAGCCACACGUGUGACAGUUUUGAGUCAGCUGAGAUGAACGGAGUAGGCCUGGGUCUCAGGAUAUUGAAGACCAAGUCCGUAGUCUCUGUUACAGAAGCAACUUUCCCCUUUUCUGCAUGCGAUACACCAUAGACAAGUUUCUUUCCUGCCCAUGAUGCUGCUGAGCUGGGAGUCUGGCCGUAAGCUCUGCCUGCCCUCUGGAGACAGACAGGCUACCAGGCCAUCCAUGCCUCCAACCCCUUUCUACAAAGCCAGCAAGGCAACAAAUGCCCAGUCUGAGCAGAUAAUUUAAGGAGUUCAAAUCUGGUGGCUCAAAACCUGACCUGUGCUCAGAAAACUGCAGAGCCUUGGACCCUUCUCUGCCCUGAAUGCAUCAGAAUCUUGGCCAGAGUGCAUGGGGGGAGCUGCAUUGGUAAACACUGCCCUGGGACCCUGAUAGAUAAGCCAGGGAUGGAAACAGCAAACUCGAAUGCCUUCCAAAGCUCAGAGGCAACACAGCUCCCAGAAUACCUGAGAUAAACUGGCAUUGAUACCAUGUCUAAGGCCUCCAGGAAUGGGGAAUUUAUGAUCUAGCUAGACAAAUAUUUUUGAGGGGAAAAAUAAAAUGGGGACAUCUAGAAUUUCUCAAGCCACAUGCACCCUAGGAAAGUGGGGCUUGAUGGCAACUCCAGGGCCCUUGUGUUGUGUCUAAGACUUGAAGCCCCUGAGCCAGGGCCUAAGGUGGUUGGGGCUCUGGAAAAUCCUAGUCCUGCUAAGCUGUCGGAGCAGGUGCUGCUGGGAGGCAGCUGCUCAACAGCCACUGGGGAGUCAGAAAUGUGCUCCUAGAAACUCCACAUCAGACUUGCUUCUCUCCUGGCCCUUUGGUUACACGACACUGUAAUGAUUAAACUUAUCUACAUAAAUGUU